UCCGGAUCGCAGUCUGCAACUCGACUGCGUGAAGUCGGAAUCGCUAGUAAUCGCGAAUCAGAAUGUCGCGGUGAAUACGUUCCCGGGCCUUGUACACACCGCCCGUCACACCAUGGGAGUGGGUUGCACCAGAAGUAGCUAGUCUAACCUUCGGGGGGACGGUUACCACGGUGUGAUUCAUGACUGGGGUGAAGUCGUAACAAGGUAGCCGUAGGGGAACCUGCGGCUGGAUCACC
Molecule: ribosomal RNA, 236 nt
Filed under: Mesorhizobium sp.
Lineage: Bacteria; Pseudomonadati; Pseudomonadota; Alphaproteobacteria; Hyphomicrobiales; Phyllobacteriaceae
Description: partial 16S ribosomal RNA
Rfam family: Bacterial small subunit ribosomal RNA
Source: RNAcentral